GGUCAAAAGUGCAUUGCACUUUAGACGUGGAAGCGCGAAGUUUAAGUGUAAUAUCUCGAAAUUGACUGAUUAUGAAGUUUGAUGAGUGGAAGCGAUAAUUGGAAUUACCCUACAUUUUCUAAAGGGUUUAGAGAGGUUGGUGGACAGGUAUGAGAAUGAUUAGAUUGCGGGAGGCGAGGAAGUGCAUUGCUGCUGCGUUUCUGCACAUUCUGCAUUGCUGU
RNAcentral lists this long non-coding RNA (221 nucleotides) under Ananas comosus (pineapple). Its description in RNAcentral is "long non-coding RNA (ACOM_LNC042210)". Lineage: Eukaryota; Viridiplantae; Streptophyta; Magnoliopsida; Poales; Bromeliaceae. The record is from RNAcentral.